RNAcentral lists this transfer RNA (77 nucleotides) under Clostridiaceae bacterium. RNAcentral's name for it is "tRNA-Met". It matches the Rfam family "tRNA". Rfam says of the family: Transfer RNA (tRNA) molecules are approximately 80 nucleotides in length. The record is from RNAcentral. RNAcentral also lists the same sequence under 2 other names. Lineage: Bacteria; Bacillati; Bacillota; Clostridia; Eubacteriales; Clostridiaceae.
GGCGGCGUAGCUCAGUUGGUCAGAGCAUUCGGUUCAUACCCGAAGUGUCGUUGGUUCGAAUCCGACCGCCGCUACCA